CUCGUAGGCGGCCAACUAAGUCAGACGUGAAAUCCCUAGGCUCAACCUAGGAACUGCGUCUGAUACUGGAUGGCUUGAAUCCGGGAGAGGGAUGCAGAAUUCCAGGUGUAGCGGUGAAAUGCGUAGAUAUCUGGAGGAAUACCGGUGGCGAAGGCGGCAUCCUGGACCGGCAUUGACGCUGAGGAGCGAAAGCCAGGGGAGACCGAAAACGG
Molecule: ribosomal RNA, 212 nt
Filed under: uncultured bacterium
Lineage: Bacteria
Description: partial 16S ribosomal RNA
Rfam family: Bacterial small subunit ribosomal RNA
Source: RNAcentral